This 459-nucleotide ribosomal RNA is filed under the name uncultured bacterium. RNAcentral describes it as "partial 16S ribosomal RNA". It matches the Rfam family "Bacterial small subunit ribosomal RNA", at positions 338 to 795 of the family's 1533-position model. The record is from RNAcentral.
CCUACGGGUGGCAGCAGUGAGGAAUAUUGGUCAAUGGCCGAAAGGCUGAACCAGCAAAGUCGCGUGAGGGAAGACGGUCCUACGGGUUGUAAACCUCUUUUGUCGGGGAACAAAGCGAACCACGUGUGGUUCAUUGAGAGUACCCGAAGAAAAAGCAUCGGCAAACUCCGUGCCAGCCGCCGCGGUAAUACGGAGGAUGCGAGCGUUAUCCGGAUUGAGUGGGUUUAAAGGGUGCGCAGGCGGAGGUGCAAGUCAGCGGUCAAAUGGCGGGGCUCAACCCCGUACUGCCGUUGAAACGGCAUCCCUUGAGUGCGCGAGAAGUAUGCGGAACGCGUGGUGUAGCGGUGAAAUGCAUAGAUAUCACGCAGAACUCCGAUUGCGAAGGCAGCAGACCGGCGCGUAACUGACGCUCAUGCACGAAAGCGUGGGUAUCGAACAGGAUUAGAUACCCCAGUAGUC